GUUUUUGAAUGGAUGUGCUGUUAAGCGGAAAGGCUCGGACGUGAUAUGUUAGUCAUUCAUUUGGUCGAGUUUUUUUUCUAGGACGCUAGUUUCCAAGAAAAAGAAGCUUCUCUCUUGCGCUAAACGACAUUGCCAGUCGAAGGAUUCUAACUGUUGACUUGCGUGACCUUGUAAGUUGCCAGAAUAAUUCACUCGCAUAUCAUCGACCAUGCUGCUGAUCGGCUGAAUCACGAUUCGAAGUAUCGAAGUGGUAAUCCCAGUGAAUUAUUUCGUGCCUCGUAUUUUGAAAUGUACGCGGUGGACCGCGUGCGCGAUCGUCAAAUAACCAUUUGAAUAAAUCAUUGACAUUA
RNAcentral lists this long non-coding RNA (350 nucleotides) under Polistes fuscatus (common paper wasp). Its description in RNAcentral is "uncharacterized LOC122524809". Lineage: Eukaryota; Metazoa; Arthropoda; Insecta; Hymenoptera; Vespidae. The record is from RNAcentral.